AGCGAACAUUGGCGGUAGGCUUAACACAUGCAAGUCGAGCGAGGCGUAAUAGUCGAGCGGCGAACGGGUGCGUAAUACAUGGGAAUCUACCUCGAAGUGGGGGAUAACGUUCAGAAAUGGACGCUAAUACCGCAUAAUCCAUAUUGGGAAAGCGUUGCAGCGCUUUGAGAUGAGCCCAUGGCUGAUUAGCUAGUUGGUGAGGUAAUGGCUCACCAAGGCGACGAUCAGUAGCUGGUCUGAGAGGAUGACCAGCCACACUGGAACUGAGACGCGGUCCAGACUCCUACGUGAGGCAGCAGUGGGGAAUCUUGCGCAAUGGGGGCAACCCUGACGCAGCCAUACCGCGUGAGUGAUGAAGGUCUUCGGAUUGUAAAGCUCUUUCGGCGGGGACGACGAUGACGGUACCCGCAAAAGAAGUCACGGCUAACUUCGUGCCAGCAGCCGCGGUAA
RNAcentral lists this ribosomal RNA (450 nucleotides) under uncultured bacterium. RNAcentral describes it as "partial 16S ribosomal RNA". It matches the Rfam family "Bacterial small subunit ribosomal RNA", at positions 29 to 523 of the family's 1533-position model. The record is from RNAcentral.